RNAcentral lists this long non-coding RNA (1571 nucleotides) under Linum usitatissimum (flax). Its description in RNAcentral is "long non-coding RNA (LUSI_LNC007208)". The record is from RNAcentral. Lineage: Eukaryota; Viridiplantae; Streptophyta; Magnoliopsida; Malpighiales; Linaceae.
AUACUAAUAUUUGACAGACCCAACAAACAAGAGACUCUGUUUCCAGGGGACGACACGUGAGAAUUAUUAGUGGGAAGGGAACAAGGGUGAUUGAGAAGAAAUGGUAGGAAUUCUCGUCUUCUUGGUAGUGAACACCUGUUUUGACGGUACUAAGAAAGAAAGAAAGAAAGAAGGGUGUGUUUGGUUUCGAAUGUCUUGUUGUGAUAAUGCUGGUCUCUGUAGCUUGGCACUUUGAAAGUAGCAAGGCGACAUAUAGAGUGAGAGUGGUCAAUUUCCCAAUUUCACAUCAAUGGUUCUUGUAGCUGCUUUGACGCCCACUUUACCUACUUUUGGAACCAUUAGUAAGUAAACUAAAUUCCUUCGUCCCUUCGAUUCUGCAUUGAGCCACCAAACCUUCUUUUACCUCCACCAAUAAUAAUACAAGUUGAUGCUCACCCUCUUAUCCUAUGUUUGAAAUCGCUUAUAAAUUCAGAUUUGGUACUCUUUCGUCAAAAGUCCAACCUUGAUUACCCUACUUUGGAACAAGAAAACCAGUCACCAAGUCUUGCUGAUAUUUUCUUCUUUUAACUUUUGAUAUCCUCCAACUACGACCAUGUUUGUUCCUACAACUCCUACCCAAACCAGGAGAUUCUAUGCUCACCCUUAAGAAAAGAUACAACAAAAGCCUUCAAUCAAAAGACUAGUAAGUGCAGUGACUGCAGAACUAAGCUAUCCUCUCUAAAGCUAGCUAUCACACAACUGGGUUUAGAAGUUGAGGGGGGUGGGGGAGGAAAAGUGAAGUCAAUAGCCAAAGUCACUUAACUCCAUUUGCCGGAUUGCGUCAUCUAACAUUAUCUCUUCCUAUAUCUAAUUUCUAUCCAAGGAUUAGGAUUCUUAUUCCAUGAUCUCCACACAUAAUGUAAAGCAACCUAUACCAACAUCUCAUUCUCUUUUCAUCUCUUGUUAUUGCAGCCAAAUCAACUCCCGCAGAAUAGGAAAGGUCAAGCAUUUGCACUUACAUGGCUAUUUCGCCCCGCCAGCCAUCCAACGCAUCCUUUUGGUACACAAUGGUUCCCUGAAGAUAACAAGUGACCCUUCAAAGAGCAAUGAACUUGAAAGUAUUGAAUGACGAUGAUAAAACAGAUAAGAUAAUAAAGGAAAUAUGAUCAUUUUGGCAAAGUAACCUGGCCAUCUUCCUCUUCUUUUUCUUUCCCAACCACUUACUACGUGGCUUAAAGCUCUUCACUCUUAUUACACCAUAAUCAAAGGGAUGUUCUACCUUUUACCAUACAGUUAUGUGCAUGUACGACCAAAAACAAACAACAAGAUGGACGCUAGCACAGACAUGAAAGACUGAAGAAUCUUCAGAAAUUUACAACAAGUAACUUAUUGUGUGGUGGGGGAGAUGAGAGGAAGGGAAGAGGACAUGACCAAUGCUCUAUCAUGUGAAAACUAAGCAAACUUCCAAAUUCUUUCAGUUUUUGUUUUGUAAAUUUUGAAGUACAGCUUACAAGUGGAGCAUAAUGCAUAAUGUCUUCAGAAAAUGGCAAAACAGUGAAUGAAAAGCCACAACAAGACCCACACAGAUAGAU